CUGUAGUUUUUGAACUCGAAGGUUAUUUGCCAUUUGUGUCACUGAUGUCGAGAGUUAAUGACGAUUUCGUUUCUAUCGGAUGUUACAAUUGGUUGGAGAUGGUCACAUGACAGUAAUUAGGAAAAUGGAACAAGUUAUAAAUAUGCGAAAACAUUUUACCAAUUUCAAAAAAGAAUUAUUGUUAGAAUUAAUAGAAAAAUAUAAAGAUGUGAUAGAAAAUAAAAAGACUAAUGCAAUGUCGAUAACACUAAGUUUCUGCGCAUGCAUUAACCCUGAGUUUCUCAAACAACCCAGCUACCAGCUAGGAUAGUUUGUUUGACUCGGAACGAAGUCGGUGAAUAUGAAUUUAGAUAUAACUCCUCAUAUAACUCUAA
RNAcentral lists this long non-coding RNA (374 nucleotides) under Androctonus crassicauda. Lineage: Eukaryota; Metazoa; Arthropoda; Arachnida; Scorpiones; Buthidae. The record is from RNAcentral.